UCAGCAUGAUAAAUCAACACUUCAUUUAUCGGAUCGUUACACUUUGAAUUUGUCUAUCUCUUUACGUGGACAUAGCAGAUUGUGAAUUGGACCAUACGGAACAUCGCAAAAAUGAAGGUUAGCGCACUUCUCGUUGUCAUGCUGGUGUUUGCGAUGGUGAUCACCGCUCCAGAAGUUGUCAGUGCUAAAGCAGCAAAAAAGUCUAAAGAGGAAACUGAGGAGAACACCGAUAAAAAGGAAACAAAGGAAAGAAGCGAAGACAAGCAUCACUUUGGUAUCAAUCAUUGGUGAUUAUUUCAGGUAAUUAUACUGCAAACUUUAAUUUUAUUUUAUUUUGUUGGGUUUAACGUCGCACCGACACAAGCAAACUUUAAAGACAGAUGACG
This is a long non-coding RNA of Mercenaria mercenaria, 386 nucleotides long. RefSeq lists it as uncharacterized. The record is from RefSeq and is a predicted model, not a curated record. The transcript is spliced from 3 exons. NCBI's taxonomy places the organism in Eukaryota, Metazoa, Mollusca, Bivalvia, Venerida, Veneridae.